CAGUCUUGAGGUGGGGACCUAUGUUUUCAUGGGUUUCACCUCCAGAAACCCCACCAGGUUCUCAUGGUGAAGAGCCAGGAAAGAUCCCUUCAUGUCUCUGGCAGGAGUAGAAGAAGAGGCCAGGCAUGGUGGCUCACGCCUGUAAUCCCAGCACUUUGGGAGGCCGAGGUGGGUGAAUCACCUGAGGUCAGGAGUUCGAGGAGUAGAAGAAGAACGAACAUCAUGAGAUGUGCCCAGAAGGUUUUUCAUGACAAUGAAAAACACUCUGUAAUAAAGGUGGUUGCUCUCGAGUUUGUAAUAUCCAUUUUUAACUAUUAAAAAUUUGUUUUAGAGAUUCUUAUACUUGAGAUUACAGCAUCUGAUUUUAGCUGAUAAAGCUUUAAAUUCCAUUCUACUCCAUGCUUGAAAUUUGAAGGUUCUGAAAGGAAUGCAGAUGAUUUACUUCUAACUUGCUGUGUUAGCUGGAGUAAAUUAUUUAACUGCUUUGUGCUUUUUUUUGGAGGAGAGGUUACAUUAGUCUGCCUCUUGAGUGUUUCUGGGACACUUAAGUGUAAAAACCAUCCUGCAGUACAUUAUCAAAAGUAACUCAUGGCAGAAUCUGUUUUUCUCUGCCUUGAUAGCAGUGGAUUGUGGAGUUUUAAUUACUAAUGUACUUUCCAUGAGGCCCAGUGAUGAUAAGAUGCACCAUCAAAGUAACAGAGUAACAGUAGGGAGAAAAGAAGUAUGUGUCAAUUGUAGUAUACGUUUUAAUUUCAGCAACAUUAAAAUGUAAACAUAUAUACAUAUUAAAAUUGAGGAAAUGUGGUGAUGCCUAAUUCCCAGAGAUGUUCUGAAAAUUAAAUAAGGUUCUCAUUCCACACUGUUAAGUGGUACAAUGCAAAUAUUAUUACUUGCCUCACCCACCCCACAAUCCAGCCUUUAAUAAUAUAUUAGUGACUUGGGAAAAAAAUGGAUACGUCAUUCAAUUUGGGGAUCAAAUUUUUCAUGAGAGUCAUUUUUUAAAGGGGGGAUAUGUUAUUGUUUUCCUUUUUUAAAAAACAGGGUUUCACUCUGUCACCCAGGCUGGAGUGCAGUAGCACAAUCUUGGCUCACUGCAACCUCUGCCCCCUGGGAUUCAAGCAAUUAUUGUGCCUCAGCCUCCCAAGUAGCUGGGAGCAUGUGCCACCAUACCUGGCUAAUUUUUCUAUUUUUAGUAGAGACAGGGUUUCACCUUGUUGGCCAAGCUGGUCUUGAGCUCCUGACCUCAAGUGAUCCACCCCUGCCUCAGCCUUCCAAAGUGCUGGGAUUACAGGCAUGAGCCACCACAUCUGGCCAAGGGAUAUAUUUUAAAGUUCAAUGAAUUUUAUCCCCAAAGUUUAUAAUAGGGAGAGACAGGUUCAGAGAAAUAAAAUGACUUCUCUAUAUGCAUAUAGUUCAUGGCACAGUUGAGACAGAAAGAGGACUUUUUAUGGAUAACAUUGACUAUUGUAAGUAAUUGUGAUUAUAUACAGUGAAGCAUUGAAGCUAGCUUUGUAACUUCAGUUCAAACAAAGGAGUGAUAGGAUGCUAAUCCCCCACAUGCACAAUGUUUUAGCAAAAGUACAGUGCAAGGAUAAGCUGAUUUAUGUUGUAGAAUUAAGGCAGUAGGAAUUGAGAGUAUGAAAGCUGUCAGAAUCAAAAUGGAGUCACUAAUGUUAAAACAAAACAAAACAAAACAAAACUCUGACAAAUAGAGCCAUGAA
This 1721-nucleotide long non-coding RNA is filed under the name Papio anubis (olive baboon). Its description in RNAcentral is "lncRNA (ENSPANG00000042386.1)". Lineage: Eukaryota; Metazoa; Chordata; Mammalia; Primates; Cercopithecidae. The record is from RNAcentral.